Molecule: ribosomal RNA, 431 nt
Filed under: uncultured bacterium
Lineage: Bacteria
Description: partial 16S ribosomal RNA
Rfam family: Bacterial small subunit ribosomal RNA
Source: RNAcentral
AACGAACGCUGGCGGCAGGCUUAACACAUGCAAGUCGAACGCCCCGCAAGGGGAGUGGCAGACGGGUGAGUAACGCGUGGGAACAUACCCUUUUCUACGGAAUAGCUCUGGGAAACUGGAAUUAAUACCGUAUACGCCCUACGGGGGAAAGAUUUAUCGGGGAAGGAUUGGCCCGCGUUGGAUUAGCUAGUUGGUGGGGUAAAGGCCUACCAAGGCGACGAUCCAUAGCUGGUCUGAGAGGAUGAUCAGCCACAUUGGGACUGAGACACGGCCCAAACUCCUACGGGAGGCAGCAGUGGGGAAUAUUGGACAAUGGGCGCAAGCCUGAUCCAGCCAUGCCGCGUGAGUGAUGAAGGCUUUAGGGUUGUAAAGCUCUUUCACCGAUGAAGAUAAUGACGGUAGUCGGAGAAGAAGCCCCGGCUAACUUCGUG